AGUUUGAAAGUCGAGCGGUAGAGAGAAGCUUGCUUCUCUUGAGAGCGGCGGACGGGUGAGUAAUACCUAGGAAUCUGCCUGAUAGUGGGGGAUAACGUUCGGAAACGGACGCUAAUACCGCAUACGUCCUACGGGAGAAAGCAGGGGACCUUCGGGCCUUGCGCUAUCAGAUGAGCCUAGGUCGGAUUAGCUAGUUGGUGAGGUAAUGGCUCACCAAGGCUACGAUCCGUAACUGGUCUGAGAGGAUGAUCAGUCACACUGGAACUGAGACACGGUCCAGACUCCUACGAGAGGCAGCAGUGGGGAAUAUUGGACAAUGGGCGAAAGCCUGAUCCAGCCAUGCCGCGUGUGUGAAGAAGGUCUUCGGAUUGUAAAGCACUUUAAGUUGGGAGGAAGGGCAUUAACCUAAUACGUUGGUGUCUUGACGUUACCGACAGAAUAAGCACCGGCUAACUCUGUGCCAGCAGCCGCGGUAAUACAGAGGGUGCAAGCGUUAAUCGGAAUUACUGGGCGUAAAGCGCGCGUAGGUGGUUUGUUAAGUUGAAUGUGAAAUCCCCGGGCUCAACCUGGGAACUGCAUCCAAAACUGGCAAACUAGAGUAUGGUAGAGGGUAGUGGAAUUUCCUGUGUAGCGGUGAAAUGCGUAGAUAUAGGAAGGAACACCAGUGGCGAAGGCGACUACCUGGACUGAUACUGACACUGAGGUGCGAAAGCGUGGGGAGCAAACAGGAUUAGAUACCCUGGUAGUCCACGCCGUAAACGAUGUCAACUAGCCGUUGGGAGUCUUGAACUCUUAGUGGCGCAGCUAACGCAUUAAGUUGACCGCCUGGGGAGUACGGCCGCAAGGUUAAAACUCAAAUGAAUUGACGGGGGGCCCCGCACA
Molecule: ribosomal RNA, 882 nt
Filed under: uncultured Pseudomonas sp.
Lineage: Bacteria; Pseudomonadati; Pseudomonadota; Gammaproteobacteria; Pseudomonadales; Pseudomonadaceae
Description: bacterial SSU rRNA
Rfam family: Bacterial small subunit ribosomal RNA
Source: RNAcentral